AUUGAACGCUGGCGGCAUGCCUUACACAUGCAAGUCGAACGGCAGCACGGGAGCAAUCCUGGUGGCGAGUGGCGAACGGGUGAGUAAUAUAUCGGAACGUGCCCAGUCGUGGGGAUAACGUAGCGAAAGCUACGCUAAUACCGCAUACGAUCUAUGGAUGAAAGCGGGGGAUCGCAAGACCUCGCGCGAUUGGAGCGGCCGAUAUCAGAUUAGGUAGUUGGUGAGGUAAAGGCUCACCAAGCCGACGAUCUGUAGCUGGUCUGAGAGGACGACCAGCCACACUGGGACUGAGACACGGCCCAGACUCCUACGGGAGGCAGCAGUGGGGAAUUUUCCGCAAUGGGCGAAAGCCUGACGGAGCAAUACCGCGUGAGGGAGGAAGGCUCUUGGGUUGUAAACCUCUUUCUCAGGGAAGGAAAAAAAUAGACGGUACCUGAGGAAUAAAGCAUCGGCUAACUCCGUGCCAGCAGCCGCCGGUAAAGUGACUACUG
Molecule: ribosomal RNA, 491 nt
Filed under: uncultured bacterium
Lineage: Bacteria
Description: bacterial SSU rRNA
Rfam family: Bacterial small subunit ribosomal RNA
Source: RNAcentral